AAAAAUAUAUAUCUAUCUUAUGUAACUCACUGGUGUGGCAGCACUAGUAAAGCUUUAUUGUAUAAAGGUUAUGUUUUCAACGUUCAAUCGCAAAGUCGAAAAGUUUAUUAUUAAAUUUAAAUAUUCAAAAUGAUUGAAAAAUUUACACCAGGAAAUGUACUAAUAACAUCUAUAUUUGUGUUUUUGACAUAUACAAUAUUCUUUGAGCCUCGACGAUAUCGUUUGUACAGCCGAUUUUCGGAUCCUCAGAACACUUAUGCUCGUGAGAUAGAAUUGAAACACUUGGGUAAAAUAUACGUACCAGGAGAGCACUUAACUAGAAGUAUGUAUGAAAAAAAAUGAAACAAAAAUAUUAUAUUGUUUACGAUACAUGUAUAAUGCUAAUAUGUAUAUAUAUAAUAUAUACAUAUGUAAUAUAUAUAAUGCUAAUACAAUAUAUAUAAUAUAUAUAUAAUCAAUAUUAUUGUAGUUAAAAUAAAAUUUAAUAAAGUACAUGAAAAAUAUAUUUGUUUUUAAUUGAUAUAUUUAAAAUAUUUUUAAUGAUAUAAAUAUAUUUAUAACAUAUGCAAAAUAAAAUUUAAUAUGUGGCAAAAAUGUGAUAUUUUUAUAUUUUUGUUCAUAUAUAAUUUAUUUUGGCAUAUUGUUAUAGUAAUUUAUAUUAAUAGAAUAUAUUGAACAAAAUAUAUAAUUAAAAAAUCUAUGAAGAUAAAUUAAGUGUUAAUCACAUAUUUAAUUAUUUUAUUUUUUAUGUAUUUAAUUAAAAUGUCUAUAUACUGAUAUGUAUAUUGAAAAAUCUAUAUACUGAAAUUAUUUUAAAAAUUAAAUUAACUUAUGUGAUAAUAUUAUAUUAAAUAAAAGGAGGUAUUUAAAUAAAAUAUCUUGAAAUUCAUAGAAUUUGAAGUUUUAUUAGAUUUUUUUGAAUUACCUUCCCCUGAGAUAGCUUAUUCCAUUAAGAAAGCCAUCCUUCAUGUCAAUCUCUUAUAUAUAUAUAUGUAUACCAUUUUAUAUCAUAUAAUUUUUGUUCCACUGUCUAUUUAAGAGCACCCAUUGGAUAUGAUAAAUUCAUAUGAAUGAAAAUUAGACAAGCAGUGCAAAUGUUUGUAGGAAUAAAUAAACAUAAAUAAAUUGAAUGUUUUAUCAGAAUGUAUCAUAUGUUAUUAAGAUAAUUGCAUUAAUUGUAUUAAAUUCUACUUUAUGACAAUAAUUGCAUUUUACAUAAUGUUUCAUUUUUUAAGAAAUUAAUUAAAAUAUAUAAAUAUUUUAGUUUGUAUACAGAACAGAUAUUAUAACAAGAAAAAUCUUAUUUAAAUAAAUCGCGCUUUUGCAAUGUACAAUAAAUAACGUUGUCUUAGAUGCUAAACUUUAUUAACAUUUACAAAAGAAAAGCAGAUAUUCUAUGAAACGCUAUUUUUUUAGCAAUAUUUCAUUUUAUGUAAUUUUGGAUAAACAAGAACGUAUGUAAAAUUUCAUACAGAAUUGGUCAAUAUAUUCCUUUUCUUAACUUGAUAUGUAUUGGAUAUAUUUCAAAUAAAAGUGGAAAAUAUAAAGAAUUAAUAACAUAAUGAGAAAAAAUAAAUAACAGAUUAAAUAUGAUAACAAGAUUAUCAAUGUACCAAAACAAGAAUUUUUAAAUUCAAUGAAUGUGUAUUUUGAAAAUGUUCCAUUUUGGUUGAUGCUUCGCGUUUCUUUCAUGUAAGUUUUAUAGAUAAAUUUUGUAAAAAGACACAUAAUUAUGUUGUUGGAUUUUUGCUAAUUCGCUGAAACACGAAACAACAUCAGAUUGUAAAUGCAUAGCAUGAUCGUGUAUAUGUACAAGUGUUAUAUAUAUGUGUAGUAUUGCAAGCUAUUAUCUUUGAAAUCAAUAGAUAAAAAGUAAAAUUUGUUUGAUACUAAAAAAUUUAAACUAAUUUUAUUACUAACUUUUUUUUGAAAUAAUUAAAUGCUAAAAACAAAUUUGACGCUAUUUUUAACAGUUUUGAAAUUGAUAGCUUGUAAUAUUUCACAUAAAUCACAUAUAUAUGUGCAAUUGUGUAUGCAAUAUAUUUUGCACGAUUAGUACAUAAUAAUAUUUUACAUGUGAGCGUAUUAUAAUGCAAAAAUUAUAAAUUACGAAAAGAUAGUCGAGACGAUAAUAAGCAACGCUUUAUAUAACAUGAAAAUCCAUAUUAUAAUUACAAUGAUGACAAUAAUGGCUGAUGUAAAAAUAAAAGUGAUAAAAAUGUAAUAUGUGAUAAAACGAUUAGAUGUAUAAAUUUCGUUUUCAGACGAAAAUCUAGAGGUCUUUAACGGAAGAUAAAAAUUAAGUGUAAUUUUCAUUUUAUUCACAAUAAAGAUUAAAAAAAAUUAUUUUAAUAAAAAUAAAAAGGAGAAAUUGAUAAGAUCAUUUGUAUACAAUAUGUGUAUAUGUGUAUUUUAUUUCGAUGUAUAUUAAUUAAAUCUAAAAAUUUUUGAAAAAUUAAACAUUAACAUACAAUAACAAUUUUCAUUAAAGUAAUAUAAUUAAAAAUUUGGAUUAUGAUUAAUGAAAUUAAGUCCUCUAGAUUAUCGAUGGUUUUGAUAAAUUUCGUACAACGAUUAUAGCGAUGAAACAUUGAGUCACAUCUUAAAGUUUAUCUAAUAUUUCAUGAUAAUGAAUAUAUUUUGGUUUUACCUUUCAUGUAAAAUAUGAUGAUAUGGAAUGUGGCACAAUGAUUCAACGAUGAUAAAACUCUGGUCAACUUUCCUCGUUUGCAUUUUAUUCACGCACAAUAUCACCUUUUUAUACUCCAUUUAAUUAUUUAAUUGAUCGAUAGACACCACUGUAACAAUUUUUCUCAUAUUCAUAAUAUAGUUUGCAUGUUUUUGAAUAACAUUGUCAUUUAAUCAUUCUCUCUUUCGCUGUUUUAUAUUAUAUCACGUCACACGCAUUUUUUAAUUCAUUGAUCGAAUCUUGUUACACACGUCGCCAAACAAAUUUGCUUCUUUUAUAAUUCUUUUUAAGGAUAAUUAAAUAAAUAAUCAAUCAAUUUUUUACAUAUAAUUUUAUUAUAUCGUUAAUCACGAUGCACAUUCUUAUAAUUGCAUCUGAAAAAUUUGAAAAUUUCGAUAAUUGUUAAAAAUUUAAAAAAAAAUUAAGUAUUAUAUUAUUUUGUCAAAAUGAAGAUAAAUAAUAUUAUAUAUAUGAUAAAAUAUAAUUUUUCUUAAUAUAUUUUUUUCUUAUAAGAGCAUGAAAUAAAUAUGACAAAUAUAAAUGUAAAAAUAUCGAUCAAAUAUGAUAAAAUCAUUGCGAUUUUAAUUUUUUCGAUGACAUAUAUAUAUAUGGCAAGAAAUGAUGAAUUUCACUAAAAUAUAAUAUUCGAUAAUAAUCUUUAUUAAAAUUAGAUUAAAAUUAAAUAAUUAAUUUAAUGUUAAAGAAAAUAAAUGAAACAUAAACGAUUAAUGAAAUAAUAAAUUCGAAAAAAUACCUGGCAAUGCUGGCGUCGCGUGCAUCGAUCGAUCAAAAAAGAUACCAUUUUUUAAGGAUAGAAUCAUAACGAAAAAUCGUGCACACGUUUAGAGCUAAAGAGAUUUGAACUAUAUAAAUGAUUUAAAGAAUAAGCUCUUAAGUGCAAGUGAACGAACGAAAGAUAAACGUUUAUUAAUAAAGAUCUGGGAUUUGGUAUUUUUUUUUGUGUUGAAUGUGCGUGUUUGUCUCUGAUACAAUUGCUUUUAGGUUCACCUAUGUAUAUUCGGAGGCUGCGCAACGGUGUGUUGUAAUAUAAUUCUUCUCCCUCUUCAUUCGCUUAUAGUUUCGCGUUAAAAAUUUUGAUAACAACAAUGGUAUUCUUUACGGGAACGAUGAAAAUCUCGUUGAGAUAUAAUACUUAAUAAUCAUGCAGUCAUCCGCACGUACGCACAGAAUUACGCGUUUCGUUAUUAUUUUCUUUUUGCAUCUCUUGUCACAUGAUUACAAAUUUAUUCCUUAAUGCUUUACUUACGAAACACAAACAUUCUGCCAUUUUUUUUUUCUUUUUUUUUUUUUAAUAUAUUUGUUAAGUACAAUUAUAUACGCGUCGUACGAUUUCUCAAGCAUAGUAUUGUCAACAAUUGUGUAUAUAUUUGUUCUUUUUUUCUUUUUUCCUUUCCAUUUGUUAAAUGGUUUCUUUUGCUAAAUGUUCUCAUAAUACAGCAAUCUGAAGUCUAGUUUUCGAAUAAUUUCCUUUCUUUGGUUCUGCGUCCAUGGUCAGCUACUGAACGCAAAAGUUCGCGAUGACAUCUCACGCUCUCGUCGAACAAGAACUACGAACACUUAACCUUGUUUCAUUAUAUACAUAUUUCUUUUCUUUUUUCUUCGAUUUUUUUUAAGAAGAAUAAUGAAUCGAUUCGUGCAACGAGACAUUCAAUCACAGAAAAAUUUUUUCGAUUUUCGCAUUUGUUUUCGAUUGUAUAAAUUUAAAAUAUAUAAAUGUUAAUGAUAUAUUAAAAUGAUUUACGGAUAUGCAUUCUCAUUAUGUAAAGAUAAUAAUACAUUUUAUUUCUCUUCUUUUUCGAUAUUUUUUUAACCCUUUAGGGACCAUUCUAUUUUAUAUAUAUAUAUAUAUAUUUUUUCAUUGUUCUUUUAUAUUCUUUUUCUUUUUUCGAAUUCAAAGUUAUUAAAAGUAAUGAAAUUCAUAGACUAAAAGCUAGGUCUAUUAUUAAACAUUCAUUUCUAAACAUUCAUAGCAUGCAUCACGUUAUAUUUAUAAUAAUCUAAUAAUACUAGAAUAAUAUCAAUUUUAUAAAUUAUGUAUUAGUACCGUAAUUAUCGAUAUCUUAAGUAGAAUCCAAGAUAAAGCACUUGAAAACUGAAUUCCGUUUGAGAGUCCCAGCAGGGUUAAACUUUUAUUCAUUUCAAAUUGAAUCAUUGCAGAACAUUUUUGUAUCAUUUCUUCUUAAAUAAUAUAUUUUUGUGCAAUUUUUCCUUUUAGAUUAAUCAAUACAAAAUAAAGAAAAGGACAAAAUAUUAUUUCGAACAAUAUUUCUUUUGUUUUCCUAUGAGUGCAAACUGUAUAAGAAGUAACAUUCACGCAUACCGUUCACGUGAAUUUGGACAAAAAUAUCACUAUUAAACGGCAACGUGAAAAUUCCUAGUCAUUUCCUGUCCCUCGUUGCUCGUCGAAAUUCCUCUCUUACCUGAUUGAUUAUUCGACGAUUACUUUUGCGUUCCCAGUAUCAAUAUUAUCGUAUUCGUGUCGUUCUUAUAGAUAUUGUGAUAAUUCAUCACAAUCUCUAUGAAACAUUGCCAUGGUAUCUUUCGCUAUCACACCAAUGAGACUCUUCGGACGUUUAACGAGUAUAGAGAAUAGAAAUCGAAAUGUCUUUUAAAAGAGAAAAAUACUGUUGCUAUUGGGAACGGUGUUCACGUGCUUGAUGUGUAUAUGUAUAUGCGCGCGAUAUAUUGUGUAUGUACAAGUGUUUCUCUAAUGUUUUUGUUAUGUGUUACAUGUUGCAUAUUCAAUUCAAAUGUUUAUAGAGUUGAUAAGUUGGCAUUUAGGAUAACAUAAAAAAAAAAACAAAGUUUUCGAUAUUAUAAUAAUUUCUUAUUUACGAUAAAACUUUCGAUCAAUACGCAUGCUUAUUUUUACGAUUGUUUGAAUCUAUUAGAAAUAAUUAAUAAUAAUAACUAAAUAACAAUACAAAUUGUUUAAUACAAUACAAUACAAUUGAUCCAUCUUAUAAUUUACAAAUUAAUCAAUAAAUAACUAAUAGAUAGACUUGUAUUCUAUCCGUAUACCAACUUAGCAGUUCUGAUUGUUAGGUUAUGUGUGUCUGUUUUUCAUUAUUAUAUGUAUAAAUGUUUAUUAGGUUAUGGUAUGUGCAAGUGUAUACGUGUGUAUAUGUAUUUUAAGGGUAGUAAUUAUCACAGAAUACACGAGAUAUUUUUUUUCAUUAAGCUUACGAGAUAUUAAUCGAAGCGGAGAAUAGGAGGAAAAAUUGGCGGUCAAUCCCGUCCACGAAGCGCAAUCGCCGAGCGACCCCAAAACUUUUCAGCGUAAAGAAACACACAAAAGAUUGUUCCCGUUUCGUCGACGGACUUGGCCUGGUUGCCGAAUUCGCCAACCCUUUUUCAUUAAUUAGUAUGUACUUAGGCAGCGGAGAAAAUAGACACUUUUACAAAUGAAGAUGGUGGCGAGAUCGCGGAUUCGUGUUUCUUUUUUUCAAUUCUAAUUUUUCUUUUUUCCUUAUUUUCUUUUUCAUUUUUCUAUAUUUUCUAUAUGCGCAUUUCGCUGAUACCAUGUCGUUUUUGUCUAUGUUCGAUAAGUGUGGUUUCAAAUUCGAAAUCUUUUUUCGCUACGUUCGUUUUUCUUCGGUCGAAGGCACACUGGAUCGAAGCAACGCGAACGUUGCAAAAAAAAUGAGUUGCAAUGCGUUUAGUACGUGAGGAACGUUCAUUGAAAGUAUUUUAAUUGAAACCGGUAUAUAAAUCCGUUUAAAGUUACGCAUUUUAAUCACGUUAAUGAAUAACGUGCUAAAUCUGAUGUUUACAAAACAAAAUACGUUUAAAUUAUAACGUAAAUUUUCUCUAUUCUGUUCUACAAUAUUUUGAGAUUUAAAGAUAUUGAUUUAUGAAUGAUUAAUUCAUUGUUAUUUUUUCCUUUUUUUGUAUUCAAUUGUGAAAUAUAUGAUUUUGACGCAAAAUUACAUGAUAAGAAGUAAUUUCAGAAAGAUAUGCGCUUAUAUGCAUAAUAUGUUAAACGAAAUUCUAUGCAGAAAUUCUGUGCUUGAUUCAUGCCGCGUAUAGACGCAUGCAUCAUCCGGAUAUGGUAAGCACCUGAUGUAAAUACGUAAUUGUAAAUAUAGCCGAAUGUUCCUCAUUUUUUGGAUGGCUCUCUCCCUCUCUUCAGACGAGUAUCCCGCGCUCGCAACUACAUCAGCAUUUAGAUACUAUACACAAUACGUAAGUAUAUCUAGACGUACUACGUAGUAGAAACUUUUUUUGUGGAUAUAAUCAUUGUAAUCUCUGGAAUUGUAUAUCUUGUUGACCUGCGAAGGCCGGAGAAUGAAAUUUAUUUAAUUUCAAAGUCGCGUGCAUCUUUUUUUUUGUGUUAUUAUUAGUUUCCAUCUUCCGUUUUUUCUGCUUUUUUUCAUUGUUUUUCCCUUUUCUUUAUUUUUUUUUUAUUUCAUUUGCGAAUUUCUCGGGAGAUCCGAUCGAAGCUUCGUGCAAGAAUCGCAAUAUGUAUUGUUAAACAAAUGUUUUUAAAGUUUUCGAACGACAUUAGAUGUGAAAUAAAGAACGUUAAAGUAUCUUCCGCAAGGAUCAUUUCCGUUUUAUAACAGAUUGAGGGAUUGUUUAACGCGUCCGCCUUUAAUUUUCUCAAUUUACUUUUUCUUUUUUUUUCUUUUUAUAUAGUGGGGGAAGUCUUAUAUCAGAGAAUCACGGAUUUCAACCUUCGUAACCCAACGAACCAUUUCUAUGAAUGGACAAUAUUUGAUCUAUUUACAAGAGUAAUAUUGAUGAGAUAUUUUAAGCGAAUAGAGAGAAAAGUAUUAAUGUUCACUUUUUUUUCUUCGAAGCUUGCGUUCCACCUUGUCGUUUACAUAUUUUGUUCAUUCACACAAAAAGCAAUGAUCGUUAAGAGGAAAAGAGUCGAAGUUAGAUGAUUAUUUAAGUUACCAUACAACUACCACGAUAUAAAGUUUAAUUUCGAAAAAGUUAGGCUGUCGAUUCAUAGAAAUAAUAUUUUCUGGUUAUAAUAGAUCAAAGACCGGAUUCUCUGGUUCACAAUAUUGUACAUGAAAGAAAAUCUAAGGCGGACGAAAGUUCUACUUUAUUUCCUUCUUUCUUUUCUUAUUACUUCUUAUUUUUUUUUUUUAUUUACCUUCUUCAAUGGAACGGAAUAUCGAUUUCUUAUUGUAUAAGUAAACAUCUAUAUAUCGUUUCGAAGCGAGACCAAAGGUGAUUCACGGAGAAUGCUCGAAGUCUUCGAGCGGAUCUUGAUUUGUUCACCAACAAUAAUCAGACUCAUACGAUCUCUUGUUAAUUUUUACAAUAAGAACGUACUUUACAUUACAAUGCCUAUUUAUUACUAACGGCACAUCUCGAGUAACGUCGUGACGUGCCUAUUGGUCGUACGCAAUGCUACGUUAAACUGUUAUUUAGAAAAAACUUUUUUCGUCAACAAUGUGUUUCACAUAUCUACAAGAAAACUCGUCUUCCCAAACAAACGGCCUAAAACGUCAUCUCUCACAAGGGUCUAUAUAUUUAUACGUAGUAUUACAUUUCCUCGUUGCAGCGCGAUUCGCUUUUCAGUUUUGAAAACACGUUUAAUUCGCGUUUUAUAUUUGCAACGUGCUUAUGUUCACGGACCCCGAUUCGAUCGUUCUUUUAUUUUCUUCUUCUUUUCUAUUCACAGUUAAGCUACUUCCUCUUCUUUUGUGAAUCCAUACAAGUCGAGGUCUAAUCGCGCUGGAUACAUUUUACUAUUUCAACUUCGUUCUCCUUUCCUUAUGUUACGAAUAUUUACCAAAUAUAUUGCGUACUGGCAGCACUGUUUUCACAUAUCGCGUCUAUUCAGAACACUCUCCAAUACCUGAGGUUUCGUAUCCUCCAUCUUUACGGCACUUGUUCGAACAAAAAGUUCGCCGUCUUGGACGUUAUUCUAUUUUUCUAUCGUUUGUUCCGAAAGGAUGGGAGGAAUCACCCUUUUAUUUUUCCGUUUCUCCCUUGUCUAACUUCCAUUGGACGAACGUUUCGAUUCGGGGCUCAUUAUAAAUAUUUCACUCGAAACCCUUCCUUCUUGUUUUCUUUGUUUUGGUUUUGUUCUUUUUUUUUCUUUCUGUUUUUUUGGUUUAUAUAGGGGACGGGGCUAAAGCUCUGUGAUUCGUAAAAAAAGACAGAAGAACACGCUCGACCGGAAGCUGGCUGCGAAGGAAGCAAGAAGAAAAUAUGUCGCGCGACAUGCUUUCUCGUUCCCUCACUGACCGACGAUGUUAUCAUUAGAACCGAAAAGGAUUCGGCCGAUCGUCCUUAUCGGUGAUCUUUUUUUCUCGUUCGUGUUUUUUGUUUCUUUUUUUUUUUUUAAUUUUUUUAUUUGUGUUUCACACCUUUUCGAUAUCGCAUGUAUUGCGGUAUUGCUCGCAUUUAUUUUUUUACUUUUUAUUUUUUUGUUUUGUUUUUUAAAGACUUCAUUCUCGACAACGACGGCCGAACGUUCUAUAGUUUCCCCUGUGGACAAUGCCCCUUCUUUCCUUCUCUCCUCCGAGCUCUUUCCAAACUCGAAGGACGCAUCGCUUCGCUGUCGUGGCUUUAAUGCUGUGACUUCGAGUCUCAGGUAGGAUUCGGUAAAGGUGUCUCCUGCCUGAUGUCACUCUUUAGUUUAACGAAUUCCUUUGCAAUUUCAUCGUUGUUCCUCUGUGAAAGAAUUCUCAGGAUUGUCCAACCUGUCUCGUCCAUCUGGAUUCGUUUGCCAAGCGACAACCAACAGGCGCAGGAACCUUCUUCGACUAUAUCCUUAAGCUGCAUCACUGCUACACCGACUAAUCUAUCUUCUCUGGCAAAGCAAUAGUCUUUGCAACAAAUGUGCAAUUCGUAGAAGUCCAAUUGCUGCUGUUCAUUGCCGAUCAUGCUGGAUACAUUGAAAUAAUUACGUUAAUUCAUUGUGUGGAGAAAAUAAAUCAAAUAAACAGAAAGGGUUGAUGGUGAACACCAAAAUGUAACUUAUGACAUUUAGGUAUUUAUAUUUGAAUACUCACAAGUCGAAGCUCUCAUUGAAUUGUGGUGACCAAUUAUUGGUCUUUGAUUUUGUUGAUUGUUUCCUCUUCUUUCCAGUUAGAUGAGGUCCGAUCAAGUUUACUUCAACAUAUGGCCUGAACAUACCUGUAGCUAAUUGCCAUUUCAAAUCGUUUGCAGCGACAACUAAAAAAUAUUUUAUAAUGCAAUAAUAAUAAAAAUUUGGAUGAAAUAUACCUUUGACGGUAACUUUUUGUUCGCCAGUUCCAGGAUGCGUGAAGAGAUCCACUUGAAUACUGACUUCUCCAACUGAGCCUUCCUCUGUGCCAGCAGUAUCUGGAACUUUAUUAAGAACAAGUUAGAUUUUAUAUACAAAUUCAAAAUUCUUGUCACUACGAGAGAGAAAAAAAGAGCCUUGCUGAGGCUCUAUUCAAGACUAAAAUUUUGAAAUCGAAUGCUAAAAUACUAUAUAAUAUAUGAAUAAUAUCUAAUUCUAGAGCAGAUUACAUGCUCUAAUCAUAUGCAUGGAAUUUUGUAUCUUUGAAUCAAUUCAUCAAAGAAGACGAAGUUGCUGUGUUAUUAAAGACGCAUGAAUAAUCUCAAGCAUAUAAAAUUUACAAGAUCUUUAUACAAUAAUAAAUUUACUAAUUGGCUUCAUUAUUAUUUUAUGAGCAAGGAUUAGUUUGUAGCAAUUUAAUUUUUGUAAAAAUUACAAAAUUUAAUUGUAAAAAUCUUAUAUCUCAUUGUUUUUACUGGAUUAUGCAUUUUACGAUUAAUAAUUAAUUUAUCAAUCGUAUGGAUAUGUAAAAAAAAAAAAAUUAUAAAAUUAUUAGUUUAUCUGCUAUACUUUUUAGAGAAAACGAUUUAACUGGAAGAUGAUAUGGUGAAUUGACUGUGAAAAAGAAAAUCUAUAGGUGUACAUUUGUCAAAGCUUAAAAAAAAAAUGAUUAAAAGAAUGCUUAGUGUAAAAAAAAAUGUUAGAAAAUGGCAACCUCUGGAGUAGGUGUGAUAUACAGAGUAUAUAUUCACAAAUUUAUAUUAUUAUUGUGUAAGUAUACAUAAAGUGUAAUUUUAAUCUGUUAUUUAUUGAGAAAAUUAAAUAAAAAAAAAAUAAAUAAAAAUUAAAUAAAAAAUAAACUUUUGAAUAUAGUAUGUAAUGUAUAUCAUGUGUACACAUAAUUGUACCAGAAAGUAUAAGUGUAUCAGAAUAAGUUGUUAGUCACUAUCAAGUGGACAUUGCCAUCGAGAUGAGUAUAUAAAAACAGUGAUACAUCAUGCAAAUUUGUCAUAUUGUUCGCGACCAUAGAAGAUAAGUGGAACAUUGAUCAUUCGAAAUCUCGAGUUUUGGUUCCAAAGUUAUAAAGUUUCAAGUGGGCUUCCCAAGAUUAUAGAAUUUAAAUCUUCAUGAACUCAUGAAUUAUUAGAUUAUGGAAGUUCGAAGUUUCACUAGCAAUUAAUAACCUUCUUAAUGACCUAUGAUCUCAACUUGAUGAAGGAUGGCAUUCACUAAGAGAAACUAUGGCUUUCAGAUCCGAAGGUGGCCAUUUUCUACUGUCGAUGUUUUGUAAGGUUUUCGGUAGUAGCAGCAACAGCGGUAGUAGUGACAGCAGCAGCAGCACUACCUAAUACAACUAUCGAUCACCGAGAAGUCUUCGGGAUGUUUUUGAUUUCAAUUCUAUUUAAUGUUGCUAAAACACUUGCUAUGCAACGAGAAUCUGUAUUAAUGAUUACAUUAUUUAUAGUUCAUAAUUCAUAAUUUUAUAUAUAAUACCGAAAGAGUCAUGCUUACAAUAUGAAUUCUAAAUUUGAUUGAGAAAAUUCCUAAUUAAUCCCGAGAAGACAGCUCGGUGCACAAUGCAAUCACAAACAGUCCACUACGUCCUAAAAUGAGCGCCUAGGUUCGAAAGUGGCCGGAAGUCAGCGAAGAAUUCCCUUCUGCUCUAAGGUGGCUAGUGCUCUCCGAUACCUUGUCGACUCUCUCGACGAAGAGAGGGCUUGCUCUGGCGAAGGGGUUCCUCGAGGCUUUCCAUACCCUCGGCUCCUUCCCCUUCGUCGCCACCUCUUUCGCUGCUCAUCGAACGCUGACGCUGACGUAGCUUUGAUGCAUUGUUCAGUGGCACUGUCGCGAUAAUUUCGGUUACGUCGGUUGUAUUUCGUACGUCGACGACGAUUUUUCCAAAAAUGUCGCGGUGUACGUGUGUGUGUGCACGGAUUAUGAUAAAUGUAAAAGAAGCGUGUGUUGUAGAACGAUUUACUUUCUUUUGCUUUUAUUCAAUUUGAUCUCAAAUUCAGUGCUGCGCGGUUAAUGGAAAUUUUGGAUUGCACCAAGUUUUUGUUAGAUAUUGAUGAAUGGAUAAAUUUAAUAGAAUUUUGGAAACUCGCGAUAUAGAUAGAUAAACAACGUAUUGCAAUAAAGUGGAAAUCAAUUUUUUGGAGAGUCACUCGUUUGUUUUCAUAAAAUUUAAUUUAUUCGAUAAAUUUAGAUUCGCAACUUGAUUGAAAUUUUGCUAAUUGUUAUGUGUGAUGAUAGGUACUGUGCUGUUAGUUUUAUUAGUUUUUUUUUAUGUAAUGAUUUUUUUUUGAUUAUCUCAAGUGGAAAAAAUAUAAUGAUUUCUUUGAUAUUAUUUUACUUUGAUAUUUUUCCCUUCAUUAGUUAAAAUGAAUAAAAUUUUGUGUUUAGUUUUGAUAUACUAUUGUUGAUAAACAAAAGAUAAAUAAAAUUAUAUGACUGCGUAUAUAA
Long non-coding RNA from Apis cerana (Asiatic honeybee), 12407 nucleotides. RefSeq lists it as uncharacterized. The record is from RefSeq and is a predicted model, not a curated record. NCBI's taxonomy places the organism in Eukaryota, Metazoa, Arthropoda, Insecta, Hymenoptera, Apidae.